CCUACGGGAGGCAGCAGUGGGGAAUAUUGCACAAUGGGCGAAAGCCUGAUGCAGCCAUGCCGCGUGUAUGAAGAAGGCCUUCGGGUUGUAAAGUACUUUCAGUUGUGAGGAAGGGUGUGUAGUUACUGCGCAUCUUGACGUUAGCAACAGAAGAAGCACCGGCUAACUCCGUGCCAGCAGCCGCGGUAA
RNAcentral lists this ribosomal RNA (189 nucleotides) under uncultured Vibrio sp. RNAcentral's name for it is "partial 16S ribosomal RNA". It matches the Rfam family "Bacterial small subunit ribosomal RNA", at positions 338 to 523 of the family's 1533-position model. Lineage: Bacteria; Pseudomonadati; Pseudomonadota; Gammaproteobacteria; Vibrionales; Vibrionaceae. The record is from RNAcentral.